UGGUCCUGGCUGCUGGGGACAGUUUGCACCUUCACUUAAGAUGAACCUGCUGCUGAUUUUCCUGUUCAUGCUGGAGGCCACUUCAGGUGUCCUCUCCCAAGUGCAGCUGCGGGAAACGGGCCCGGGAGCGGUGAAACCCGGGGAGUCCCUGACACUCACUUGUACCAUCUCCGGAGACUCAGUUUCUAGCACCAGCGUCACCUGGGACUGGAUCCGGCAGCCUGUGGGGAAAGGGCUGGAAUGGGUAGGGCGCAUUUACUACAGACCGAGCCAGUGGUCCACUAACUAUGCCAGCUCUCUGCAGAGUCGAACAACCAUCGCACAAGACACUUCCAAGAACCAGUUCUCCCUGCAGCUCCGCUCGCUGACAGCUGCAGACACCGCCGUGUAUUACUGCACCAGGAGAGACACAGUGACAGAGCGAAGCAGGGACCG
Terrapene triunguis (Three-toed box turtle) is the source of this 435-nucleotide non-coding RNA. The record is from the annotation of a RefSeq genome assembly. Lineage: Eukaryota; Metazoa; Chordata; Testudines; Emydidae.